RNAcentral lists this ribosomal RNA (492 nucleotides) under uncultured bacterium. RNAcentral's name for it is "partial 16S ribosomal RNA". It matches the Rfam family "Bacterial small subunit ribosomal RNA", at positions 29 to 507 of the family's 1533-position model. The record is from RNAcentral.
AGUGAACGCUGGCGGUAGGCCUAACACAUGCAAGUCGAACGGCAGCACAGUAAGAGCUUGCUCUUACGGGUGGCGAGUGGCGGACGGGUGAGGAAUACAUCGGAAUCUACUUUUUCGUGGGGGAUAACGUAGGGAAACUUACGCUAAUACCGCAUACGACCUACGGGUGAAAGCAGGGGAUCUUCGGACCUUGCGCGAUUGAAUGAGCCGAUGUCGGAUUAGCUAGUUGGCGGGGUAAAGGCCCACCAAGGCGACGAUCCGUAGCUGGUCUGAGAGGAUGAUAGGCCACACUGGAACUGAGCCACGGUCCAGACUCCUACGGGAGGCAGCAGUGGGGAAUAUUGGACAAUGGGCGCAAGCCUGAUCCAGCCAUACCGCGUGGGUGAAGAAGGCCUUCGGGUUGUAAAGCCCUUUUGUUGGGAAAGAAAAGCAGCAGGUUAAUACCCCGCCGUUCUGACGGUACCCAAAGAAUAAGCACCGGCUAACUUCGUG